RNAcentral lists this ribosomal RNA (253 nucleotides) under uncultured bacterium. RNAcentral's name for it is "partial 16S ribosomal RNA". It matches the Rfam family "Bacterial small subunit ribosomal RNA", at positions 524 to 776 of the family's 1533-position model. The record is from RNAcentral.
UACGAAGGGGGCGAGCGUUGUUCGGAUUUACUGGGCGUAAAGGGCGCGCAGGCGGCCAUUCAAGUCAGGCGUGAAAGCCCCGGGCUUAACCUGGGAGGUGCGUCUGGGACUGGGUGGCUGGAGAUCGGGAGAGGAGAGUGGAAUUCCCAGUGUAGAGGUGAAAUUCGUAGGUAUUGGGAAGAACACCGGUGGCGAAGGCGGCUCUCUGGACCGGUACUGACGCUGAGGUGCGAAAGCGUGGGGAGCAAACAGG